This 1300-nucleotide ribosomal RNA is filed under the name metagenome. RNAcentral's name for it is "bacterial SSU rRNA". It matches the Rfam family "Bacterial small subunit ribosomal RNA", at positions 27 to 1375 of the family's 1533-position model. The record is from RNAcentral.
GGAUGAACGCUGGCGGCGUGCUUAACACAUGCAAGUCGAACGAACCUUCGGGUUAGUGGCGGACGGGUGAGUAACGCGUGAGAAUCUGCCCUCAGGAGGGGGAUAACGGCUGGAAACGGCCGCUAAUACCCCAUAUGCCGAGAGGUGAAAUGAAUUUCGCCUGAGGAUGAGCUCGCGUCUGAUUAGCUAGUUGGUGUGGUAAAGGCUCACCAAGGCAUCGAUCAGUAGCUGGUCUGAGAGGAUGAUCAGCCACACUGGGACUGAGACACGGCCCAGACUCCUACGGGAGGCAGCAGUGGGGAAUUUUCCGCAAUGGGCGCAAGCCUGACGGAGCAACGCCGCGUGAGGGAUGAAGGCCUCUGGGCUGUAAACCUCUUUUAUCAAGGAAGAAGAUCUGACGGUACUUGAUGAAUAAGCCACGGCUAAUUCCGUGCCAGCAGCCGCGGUAAUACGGGAGUGGCAAGCGUUAUCCGGAAUUAUUGGGCGUAAAGCGUCCGCAGGCGGUCUUGAAAGUCUGUUGUUAAAGCGUGGAGCUCAACUCCAUUUCAGCAAUGGAAACUAGAAGACUAGAGUGUGGUAGGGGCAGAGGGAAUUCCCGGUGUAGCGGUGAAAUGCGUAGAUAUCGGGAAGAACACCAGUGGCGAAGGCGCUCUGCUGGGCCAUAACUGACGCUCAUGGACGAAAGCCAGGGGAGCGAAAGGGAUUAGAUACCCCUGUAGUCCUGGCCGUAAACGAUGAACACUAGGUGUCGGGGGAAUCGACCCCCUCGGUGUCGUAGCCAACGCGUUAAGUGUUCCGCCUGGGGAGUACGCACGCAAGUGUGAAACUCAAAGGAAUUGACGGGGGCCCGCACAAGCGGUGGAGUAUGUGGUUCAAUUCGAUGCAACGCGAAGAACCUUACCAGGGUUUGACAUCCUGCGAAUCCCUUGGAAACUUGGGAGUGCCUUCGGGAGCGCAGUGACAGGUGGUGCAUGGCUGUCGUCAGCUCGUGUCGUGAGAUGUUGGGUUAAGUCCCGCAACGAGCGCAACCCACGUCUUUAGUUGCCAGCAUUAAGUUGGGCACUCUAGAGAGACUGCCGGUGAUAAACCGGAGGAAGGUGUGGAUGACGUCAAGUCAUCAUGCCCCUUACAUCCUGGGCUACACACGUACUACAAUGCUACGGACAAAGGGCAGCAAACUCGCGAGAGCUAGCAAAUCCCAUAAACCGUGGCUCAGUUCAGAUCGUAGGCUGCAACUCGCCUACGUGAAGGAGGAAUCGCUAGUAAUCGCAGGUCAGCAUACUGCGGUGAAUACGUUCCC